AUUAGUCUAAUUGAAAAUGAGCAAACCGAUUAAAAGACUAAUAUGUUGUCUAUCAAGCCAAUUAGGGAGAUGUCUUGUUUUGAAUGUAACAAGCCCGAUUUGCCCGGCCCGUUAUACUAAACCAAACAAAAAAAUAAAUAAUAAAUUAGCCCAAAUGUCUAGGCCUAAAAUACAUGCCCAAUUACAACAAACCCCAAAAAAUAAAAAAUCCUAGCCCAAACAAAAACAAAAAGCAGAAACCUUAGCCCCCUUUCAGUAGCCGC
RNAcentral lists this long non-coding RNA (263 nucleotides) under Gossypium raimondii (Peruvian cotton). Its description in RNAcentral is "long non-coding RNA (GRAI_LNC008888)". The record is from RNAcentral. Lineage: Eukaryota; Viridiplantae; Streptophyta; Magnoliopsida; Malvales; Malvaceae.